Molecule: ribosomal RNA, 375 nt
Filed under: uncultured bacterium
Lineage: Bacteria
Description: bacterial SSU rRNA
Rfam family: Bacterial small subunit ribosomal RNA
Source: RNAcentral
UAAUACGGAGGGUGCGAGCGUUAAUCGGAAUUACUGGGCGUAAAGCGUACGCAGGCGGUUUGUUAAGCGAGAUGUGAAAGCCCCGGGCUCAACCUGGGAACUGCAUUUCGAACUGGCAAACUAGAGUGUGAUAGAGGGUGGUAGAAUUUCAGGUGUAGCGGUGAAAUGCGUAGAGAUCUGAAGGAAUACCGAUGGCGAAGGCAGCCACCUGGGUCAACACUGACGCUCAUGUACGAAAGCGUGGGGAGCAAACAGGAUUAGAUACCCUGGUAGUCCACGCCGUAAACGAUGUCUACUAGAAGCUCGGUUCUUCGGAACUGUUUUUCAAAGCUAACGCAUUAAGUAGACCGCCUGGGGAGUACGGCCGCAAGGUUA